Long non-coding RNA from Sinocyclocheilus rhinocerous, 281 nucleotides. RefSeq lists it as uncharacterized. The record is from RefSeq and is a predicted model, not a curated record. The transcript has 2 exons. Lineage: Eukaryota; Metazoa; Chordata; Actinopteri; Cypriniformes; Cyprinidae.
CACCAAGAUGUGCACCAUCCGCAUGAGCUUUGUAAAGGGCUGGGGCGCAGAGUAUCACAGACAAGAUGUGACGAGCACCCCUUGCUGGAUAGAAGUGCAUCUUCACGGUCCCCUCCAAUGGCUGGAUAAAGUCCUAACACAAAUGGGUUCUCCUCUGAACCCCAUCUCUUCUGUCUCAUAAUGAAGGGCCCUGCUGGGCUGGGAGAGUGUUUUUUUGUUUUUUUUGGUUUUUCUUUUCUUUCUUUUUUCUUCACUUUUGAAAGAAAAGGAGAUAUUAAGGG